Oncorhynchus tshawytscha (Chinook salmon) is the source of this 1826-nucleotide long non-coding RNA. RefSeq lists it as uncharacterized. The record is from RefSeq and is a predicted model, not a curated record. NCBI's taxonomy places the organism in Eukaryota, Metazoa, Chordata, Actinopteri, Salmoniformes, Salmonidae. The transcript is spliced from 2 exons.
GGUACGGAGAGGCCUUAUUCAUGACUUCUAAGCUAAUCAGUGGGGUGACUGAAUUCCUAAACACAGAGACGGAGCUGAAUGAGCUGAAGGAGUUUAUCCAGAUCAGUGGAGGUGGAGCGGGGCCGGCGUUGGCCCGGGCCGUGGAGAUCGUGGAGGCCAACGUGAGAUGGCACAGUCUCUACGAACGCCAGAUCUUCCAGUGGCUAAGGAAGUCUCCCAACGGUUAACACACAGCCAACAGGGUUCAGCCCAAGCAUGGCAUCUCUCUGACACUAUUACAGACCCAACAACAUCAGGCGGAGAAAAAAUAUCGGAAAACAUAUGUUCAUUUCAAUUGUAAAAUAAGACAAACUUGAUGAGAAAGUCACUGGCAAACCGGAGAGAGAGAGAGAACAGUGAAGACAGACGACGUGAUUGGCUCAGAUGACCUUAGUCUGACCGACCGUUUGGAAGGUGGAUUUGAUUAGGAAUAAAUAUUGCAUGGUGGCUUUCAUCUCCAGUGACAGUUUUAUUUUUCAACGCAUGGUUUUCACCCCUCUGAUUGGUUUUCCACUAAGCUGACCCCUGUGACCUUUUCAAUGACCUUUGAACCUCCGGUCAACUCUUUUAGUAGCCUAUGAGGAGGAAGACAAACUAGAGCUACAAGAGGCACGGGAAGAGGACCUGGCAGCAUUAUGAUUACAACCGUGACAAGCACAAGUAUUAUCAUGUUUUGUUCAAUGAUGACAAUCAUUAUUUUGAUUGGGACAGCAACACAAAAAAACAAAUAUAAAUUAUAACGAAAUAAAAGAAUAUGUGUAUCUAAAUGUUUUGGGCCUUAACCUUCUCUUUUGAGCCAUACUGAGGUGGACUUUGUGACGUCUGGAACAUUUAGACAGGGGGACGUGGCGGCUGAAGUGAUGUUCAUUGUUGUGCGUGGUGUGUUCCAUAAUAACUUAUCCUCCUUCCUCAGCCAAUAAGGUUUCCCUAAAUGACAUUACGCCAGGGGGAGACUCUGCAGAACCCAGGAGGCAGGAACAAGGGGACUCCCCAUAACCCGAAGGAGUCACUAUUGAUUAUUGAUCGAUUAUCGUUAAAUGACAUCAUUUAUAUUUGCUGAUUAACAUCGGAGUGUCCUUUGGAUUAUACCGUCUUGGUGUUUGAGUGAAAAUAAAAAAUGAAACUGUUGUGAGUUGCAGGUUGAUAUUCUGUGUGCAAAAUGGUCCAUGUUGCUGAUGGGACUGAGAGCCAGUGGAUACAGUCUGUGUGAGCCGCGGUGUAGUAAUGAUGACAUAUAGAAACUUACGUUGUUUUGGUCAAACGUCAUGCUUGGUUUUCAUGUGCCGCUAAUUACUUCAUAAAAAAGUUUCACUCAGAAACCGUAUUUUAAGCAAAAACAGAGGAAAUAUGCUCCAAUAUUCCUGACAGAUAUUACUAGUUUUGUUGCUACCCUGCAAAGCCCAGUAAACUUAACAGGCCGAUGCUAACAGCUAGCUGGAUAUACUCUGUGGACUCGUUUCAUGAAGAAUAGAACAUAAUAAUGAGUUUUUACUGUUGACACUUGGCUGGUAGAGCAAAUCCCCAUUGGGUUUACUGGGGAGUCCAUUGCUCUUAUUUUCUGUGUAAAAGUCAGUGCUAUUUAUAUCCUCUAUGGCUAAUCCCUGAUACUGUAGACCUCAAGAAGAAAACAGUUGCAGCCCUUCACCAUCUUUUCCUUUCUUGUUGUUGUUUUGAUGUAUUAAAACAGGAUUUUUUUUCUAAAUGAGGGACUAUAUUGUUCUGUGUUUUGAGCAGAGCAGCAAUGGGAUUUUAACGCUGAUAAAUAAAUUAUUUUGUACAGUAACGCA